This 701-nucleotide ribosomal RNA is filed under the name uncultured bacterium. Its description in RNAcentral is "bacterial SSU rRNA". It matches the Rfam family "Bacterial small subunit ribosomal RNA", at positions 9 to 687 of the family's 1533-position model. The record is from RNAcentral.
GAGUUUGAUCCUGGCUCAGGAUUAACGCUGGCGGCGUGCCUAACACAUGCAAGUCGGGCGGCAGCGAGUUUUACACUAAAUUCUGGAAACUUCUAGUUUGAAAGGAGAUAUUUCAAGAAUUUUGUGUAGAAUGUCGGCGAGCGGCGGACGGCUGAGUAACGCGUGGGAAUAUACCCCAAAGUGAGGGAUAACGCAUCGAAAGGUGUGCUAAUACCGCAUAUGGUCUUCGGAUUAAAGCAUUUAUGCGCUUUGGGAAUAGCCUGCGUCAGAUUAGAUAGUUGGUAGGGUAAUGGCCUACCAAGUCAACGAUCUGUAACUGGUUUGAGAGGAUGAUCAGUCAGACUGGAACUGAGACACGGUCCAGACUCCUACGGGAGGCAGCAGUGAGGAAUCUUCCACAAUGGGCGAAAGCCUGAUGGAGCAACGCCGCGUGCAGGAUGAAGGCCUUCGGGUCGUAAACUGCUUUUAUAAGUGAGGAUUAUGACAGUAACUUAUGAAUAAGGAUCGGCUAACUACGUGCCAGCAGCCGCGGUCAUACGUAGGAUCCGAGCGUUAUCCGGAGUGACUGGGCGUAAAGAGUUGCGUAGGUGGUCUAAUAAGCGAAUAGUGAAAUCUGGUGGCUCAACCAUUCAGACUAUUACUCGAACUGUUAGACUCGAGAACAGCAGAGGUAACUGGAAUUCCUAGUGUAGGAGUGAAAU